Molecule: ribosomal RNA, 368 nt
Filed under: Pseudomedaeus agassizii
Lineage: Eukaryota; Metazoa; Arthropoda; Malacostraca; Decapoda; Xanthidae
Description: partial 12S small subunit ribosomal RNA
Source: RNAcentral
UAUUAUACUAACGAGUACUAUAAGUCUUAAUUAUUAAUAGAUAUUUUCUUUAAAUUUGAAGAAUUUGGCGGUGAUUUAGUCUUGUUAGAGGAACCUGUUUUUGGAUCGAUACCCCACGCAGAAUCUUGCUCGUUUUAUUGAUAGUUUAUAUACCGUCAUUAUUAGAUAAUUUUAAGAAAAUUAAUUAUUGGGAUUUAAAAAAAUAAUAGAUUAAAUUAGAUCAAGGUGUAGCUUAUAAAUGAGUUAAAAUGGGUUACAAUAAAAUUUAUUUAUUACGGAGUAGCAAGAAAAAGGAAGAUGUUGGUAUGAAGGAGGAUUUAAUUGUAAUAGGAGUUUAAUAAGCUCAAAAGAUAUAAGCUCUAAAUCAU